Molecule: ribosomal RNA, 1256 nt
Filed under: uncultured Cercozoa
Lineage: Eukaryota; Cercozoa
Description: SSU rRNA
Rfam family: Eukaryotic small subunit ribosomal RNA
Source: RNAcentral
CAUAUGCUUGUCUCAAAGAUUAAGCCAUGCAAGUCUAAGUAUAAGCACUUAUACUGUGCAAACUGCGGAAAGCUCAUUAUAUCAGUUAUAGUUUAUUUGAUGGUACCCUUACUACAUGGAUAACCGUAGUAAUUCUAGAGCUAAUACAUGCCCGGUAACGGUGACCUCUCGGGGAAGCCGCGGACUUAUUAGAUACAAAACCAAUCCCUUCGGGGUCCAUUGGUGAAUCAUAAUAAUUCAUCGAAUCGCAUGCCUUCGGGCGGCGAUGGGUCAUUCAAAUUUCUGCCCUAUCAGCUGUGAUGUUAGUGUAGUGGACUAACAUGGCUAAAACGGGUGACGGAGGAUUAGGGUCUGAUUCCGGAGGGGGAGCCUGAGAAAUGGCUACCACUUCCAAGGAAGGCAGCAGGCGCGUAAAUUACCCAAUCCCGACACGGGGAGGUAGUGACAAGAAAUAACAAUACUGGACGUUUCUACGUUUGGUAAUUGAAAUGAGUACAACCUAAAAUCCUUAACAAGGAACAAUUGGAGGGCAAGUCUGGUGCCAGCAGCCGCGGUAAUACCAGCUCCAAUAGCGUAUAUUAAAGUUGUUGCAGUUAAAAGGCUCGUAGUCGAACUUAUGGUUCUUUAGUCUUGUCCCGUUCUUUUGUGGAACGUUGUGACGAGUCUUAGAACCUUCUUGGUUGAGAGCGCUUCUGCCCUUUACUGGUUGGUUUCUUGACUCAGAUCUUUUACUGUGAGAGAACAAAGUGUUCAAAGCAGGCUUGAUGCUUGAAUGCGUUAGCAUGGAAUAAUAAGAUAGGACUUCGGCUCUAUUUUGUUGGCUUUCAGGACCAAAGUAAUGAUUAAUAGGGAUAGUUGGGGGUGCUCGUAUUCAACGGUCAGCGGUGAAAUGCAUGGACCCGUUAAAGACGAACUUAUGCGAAAGCAUUCACCAAGGAUAUCUUCUUUGAUCAAGAACGAAAGUUGGGGGAUCGAAGACGAUCAGAUACCGUCGUAGUCUCAACCAUAAACUAUGCCAACUGGUGAUUGGCGGCAGUUGAUCGUUGACCCCGUCAGCAACCUAUGAGAAAUCAAAGUCUCUGGGUUCUGGGGGGAGUAUGGUCGCAAGGCUGAAACUUAAAGGAAUUGACGGAAGGGCACCACCAGGGGUGGAGCCUGCGGCUUAAUUUGACUCAACACGGGGAAACUUACCAGGUCCGGACAUAGUAAGGAUUGACAGAUUGAAGUUCCUUUCUUGAUUCUAUGGGUGGUGGUGC